This is a long non-coding RNA of Hirundo rustica (Barn swallow), 951 nucleotides long. RefSeq lists it as uncharacterized. The transcript is spliced from 2 exons. NCBI's taxonomy places the organism in Eukaryota, Metazoa, Chordata, Aves, Passeriformes, Hirundinidae. The record is from RefSeq and is a predicted model, not a curated record.
AGGAUGUUCUGCUAUUGUCUGCCAGCUCUCCUUGGGUGGAUGUCCUUUUGCAGGUCCCCCUCUGAAACUGCACCGUGCACGACACAAAACGUGCCAGGUCUUCUGGACAGCGGGAACAAAGGCAGCCAGAGCCAAACUGUUCAUCUAAAUAAAGCAACAAACAUCACAGUAAUAGGAGCCACUGAAUAACAAAUCCAAUCUGCUCAAGGGAUUUAUGGCUCUACCAAAAGAGAAGAAAAAAAGAAGCUCUAGAAACUGAAAAGCAAAAAAAAAAAAUUAGUGUAAAAACCCCUGGUACUUUAUAUUUGCAGACACAUAUCAGGCUUUGGUGCCCAACAAAGAUCUAGCAGAAAAGGUUGUUUUUGUGAAAGACUGGGCACCAGCUGCUAUUAAAAUUUCAGUAACACUUCAGAUACUACCUCAACAGUCCCCACACACAGCCUUGGAGGAUAAAUCUUUUUUUGCACUCCUGUUAUUCCCUGUAACACAAGACAGAAGGAGCAGCAAUGCAUGCAUGCACAUGCAGGCUUAUUUCAAGGCAUCUGUGCUUUCAUAAAGCAGAAAAGGACACAAAUUUGGUCGGAAAAUAUAUGUAUCAUCUUUAAAAAGAUUACAACAAAGGGACUGAAGACAUUAAUGAAAAGGCAUCUAUGUGUUAAUUUUUAGGUUUCAGGGUGAAAUCUGGAUGAAAGUUCUGCUGUACAUGGUUGAUCUGAUGCCUGUGUAAGUUAAGGCCACCGUCCAGCUGUGUGCUUUGCCACCAUGCAGAGAAGCAGUAGGAUUCAAGGUUUAAGAUCACUUGGGUCUUCUGCUAAUUAGAAACAACUUCAGGGGUCAAUCUAAUCUGCAUCACUAGUGACUAGUUUUAUCAUCUGUAGAAAGUUUAUUUUAGCAUCAGUAGCCUGACAGGCCUAUUUGUGCAGGGAGGUUACAUAGGAACCUGCAUUUGCU